UCUGAACAUAUCUCUUCAAUGAUUUUUUUAAUUAUUCAAUUAUUUAAAAUAGUUAUUCUUGUUUUAGUAUUCUUAAGAAAAUAAUUAAUUAUUUAAACUGAAAAGGAAAUAUAGUUUAUAGUUAAAUAAAGUAAUAUAAAUUAUGUACCUUUUGUAUCAGGGUAAAUUAAUAAAAAUUAUGUAUAUAUAUAUCCCGAAAUAAAAUGAUUUAUGUUAUUUUGAUAUUUAUUGUUGUAUAAAUAUUAUUUAAUAUAACUUGGAAAUGAAAUUUUAUCGUAUUUUUUGAUAUCUGGUUUCCUAGAAAAUAAAUUUAAUUUAGGGAAAAUUAAUUGUGUUAAAAUAAUUACAUUAAAUUUUCUAAUUAUAGAGAGGAUAAGCUCUUUAUAUUAUCUAUAAAUUUUUAUAUAAAAUAUUUAAUAGGCUUAAAACCAGUCAUUUUUGAUUUAGUUAAAUUUCAUUUUUCAUUAUAAAUCAUUUAAUUUUUUUUAGUUAAAUACUAGGAAUUAAUUUAUAAUUAAUUACUUUAAUUAUAAUGAUUUAAUUAGUAAAAUAUUGAAAUAUUAAUUAUGAAUUCGGCAAAUUUAACUUUCGCCUGUUUAUCAAAAACAUGUCUUUUAGAAUAAAAGUUAAAGGUCUAAUCUGCCCAAUGAUUGUUGAAUGGCCGCGGUAAUAUGACCGUGCAAAGGUAGCAUAAUAAUUAGUCUUUUAAUUGAAGGCUUGUAUGAAUGAUUGGAUGAAAAGUUCACUUUAUUUUUUUUAAUAUUUAAAUUUAAUUUUUAAGUUAAAAAGCUUAAAUGUUUGUGUGGGACGAGAAGACCCUAUAGAGUUUUAGAAAUUUAUAUAUUAACUAUUAUUGGAUUUUUAUUAUUUAGUAAAUUAAUUUAUUUUUUUUGUUGGGGUGACGUUGAAAUAUAAUUAACUUUCAAUUAAUUUAUCAUUAAUUAAUGUUUAAUUGAUCCUAUUUCAAGAUUAAAAGAAUAAAUUACCUUAGGGAUAACAGCAUAAUUAAAUUGGAGAGUCCAAAUCAAUAAUUUAGCUUGUGACCUCGAUGUUGGAUUAAGAAAAGACCCUGGGGCAAUUUUCAGGGAAUACUAGGUCUGUUCGACCUUUAAAUUCUUACAUGAUCUGAGUUCAGACCGGCGUGAGCCAGGUUGGUUUCUAUCUACAUUUACCUUUUUUGAUAUUAGUACGAAAGGACCAUAUUGAAUGAUUUUAUUGUGCUGUUUUGGCAGAUUUAGUGCAUUAAAUUUAGAAUUUAAUUAAAU
RNAcentral lists this ribosomal RNA (1265 nucleotides) under Tettigades undata. RNAcentral's name for it is "16S ribosomal RNA". The stretch from base 802 to 1167 matches the Rfam family "Archaeal large subunit ribosomal RNA", at positions 2154 to 2717 of the family's 2987-position model. The record is from RNAcentral. Lineage: Eukaryota; Metazoa; Arthropoda; Insecta; Hemiptera; Cicadidae.